This 399-nucleotide ribosomal RNA is filed under the name Triticum aestivum (bread wheat). RNAcentral describes it as "partial small subunit ribosomal RNA". Lineage: Eukaryota; Viridiplantae; Streptophyta; Magnoliopsida; Poales; Poaceae. The record is from RNAcentral.
AUGCACCAUCUUGUCGUGGUCGACGCCGUCACAGCGCCCAUCACCACAUCGUCCUGCCGCACGCAGCAGCCACCUCUUGACAUGGACGGCGCCUUCGCAACGCCGAUCACCACGCCAUCAUCACCUCGCGGCAUCGCACCGAAACCGGCCAUCAGCGGUACCGCACCGCUGCCAGCCAUCACCUCGCACCGACGUCCUCCACCUCACAUGGAGUCCACCGCGUCACCACCGUCGCAGCCGUUGCCUCCGCCCAGCACCACAGCGGCCACCAUAGCCGCCGGCACCGUCGUCGCCGCCACGGAUCAACAAGGCUCUGAUGCCAAUUGUUGGCGCCGCCUCUCGCAGCGCCGCUUCUUCUUCUACCUUGAGCUGCCUCACACAACUCUCCAUCUCUCUUAA